UCUGGUGUCCCCGGCCUGGGGCUGGCAAGCUGGGUUAGGAGCUAUGACCUUGGGGCAAAUAGGGAUACGAUCCUAGAGGCGCAGGGGAGCGCGCAGCAUGAGUGCUGAGAGGCACGCGCCCUCUGCUGCACGGCCGUGGAAUAAAACGAGACAACGGCCCCACAGUCCCCUGCCCGCAGCCCACGCUCGGGCGAGCCUGGAGGAUUGCAUUUCCUCGUAGGCUGGCAGAGCCUUACAUGAAGCGCUCAUCUUCUCCUACUUUCCUCCUCUUUAAAAAAUUAACGUGGGAAACAUUUUCCUGGGCAUCUAAAAGUAUUGUGGACCUGAGACACUGUGCUUACAGGGCCUACUGGUUUUCACUGUAUGAGACCGAGAAUGGAUUAUGGCAGUUCCUCUUACCUCCGCUGCAUACUUGACUCCAUCCACGGUGUGCUCAGAGCCAUGAUCAUCCGAAGAGCCCCAGUGAAGAUGAAACUGGCGAAGUCGGUAGGGUCCAGGGAGAGGACCCCCUCUCAGCACUGUGAUUCAGAUAAGCUUGGUCAACAGUGAAUUCAUGCUUCUUUUACAGAGCUCUACUUUAACCAAGUGCUCUUAGAGCCAAGGCUUAAUGGACAAAAUGUGGUCAGUUUGCUGGGUGGAUGGUGCCACUCCCAGGACACUGGACUCCUCACAAAAUGAAGUCUGGGGAUAUGUCAAGAUAAAUGAUUGUUCUUUUCUGUCUUUCUUAUUUUGUUUGCUUGUUUCAUUAUUAUUGAAACAUCAUUUUAACAUUUAGGAAAGCAAAAUUAAAACAACAGAUAGACAAUGAGGAUGCAUACACCCAAAGAACAAGUCAGUAGUGUGGUGCAGUGGGAAGAACUGGACAGUUGAGAACCAGGUGGAGGUAGGUUUCCAAUGCUGGCUUCACCCCUUGCUAGUUCUGUGGUCUCAGGCAAGUUGCUAAACUUCUCUGAACCCACUUUCACAUCUCUAAGAAGGUGAUAAUAAUACCAAACUUUCAGAGCUGCUGUGAAGAUUAACUGAGAUUAAGCACCUUAAAGUGCUCAUCAUAGUGCCUGCAUGAUGAUCACUGAGCAGAUGUGAAUUCCUUCUCCACGUGUUGCUUCCAACUACACUUUUCUUCAAGACAACGAGCAAAAACUUUCAUCUACGUCUAAUUUAGACUGUGUCUAUUCAAAUGAGAUGAAAUGGAAAAUUCAGAAAUUUCCCAGAAAACCAAUCAAUGUGGAUGAUUAAACUAGAUAAUUCUCAGCAGCAUUAAUUUGGGCUUGUUGAUAAACAUCUCAACCCAUUGCAGAGUGAUUUAGAGGUUCAAAUGUCUUCCAAAGUAUAUUGGAAACUAUGCAGAAACCCUAAGAUCAAGAUUUGGCAAUAUAAGCUAGAUCAAAAUAGAAUUCAGAGCAUAGCUAUUUUAGAAGAGGUUGCCCACACUAAGUGGCCCAGGGAAAGCCAUAAAUAUAGACCUCAAACAAUGAGGCUAGGCCUAUAUGAGUUUGUUCAGGUAGAAAUGGAGUGGUUCAAUUCAUUGCAUUUUUCCUGUCCAACCACUCAGAACAGUUAUUAUAGGGACAUGUGAGUCCAAUUUAUUAGAAGAAACUAUAUGAAAUUGACAAUAUUCAACUAUUUUUGCACACAAAAAUGGCAUUUUCAUAUGGUUCAACCUAAUAGAUAUGUUUAAUUUUGUUAUGUUGCUUUCAAAAUGGUACUUGAUAUAUAAGGAGAAGGGGAAAAAAGGAAACAAUAGCAAUACGAAACCACUGUUUAAGAAAAUUUAAAUUUCUGUAACUUGGAACCUCCUGGUAGGUAGGAAUUAUGAAUAUCAUUCUUCAUUACAAAAUCAUUAAGAAUGUUCAUUUAUGUAUAUCAAUAAAUAUAACUUUAUUAGAGAUGGGGCUAUAAGGAAUUAUUUUGCUGUAUAUCAAGCACCAAAAUAUUAAAGGAAGAUUCUUUCUUACCUCAUUUAUCGUGAAAUAAAGUAUUUCUGACUAGUCUUCU
Molecule: long non-coding RNA, 1995 nt
Filed under: Homo sapiens (human)
Lineage: Eukaryota; Metazoa; Chordata; Mammalia; Primates; Hominidae
Description: CA3 antisense RNA 1
Source: RNAcentral